GACGAACGCUGGCGGCGUGCCUAAUACAUGCAAGUAGAACGCUGAAGAGAGGAGCUUGCUCUUCUUGGAUGAGUUGCGAACGGGUGAGUAACGCGUAGGUAACCUGCCUUGUAGCGGGGGAUAACUAUUGGAAACGAUAGCUAAUACCGCAUAACAAUGGAUGACACAUGUCAUUUAUUUGAAAGGGGCAAUUGCUCCACUACAAGAUGGACCUGCGUUGUAUUAGCUAGUAGGUGAGGUAACGGCUCACCUAGGCGACGAUACAUAGCCGACCUGAGAGGGUGAUCGGCCACACUGGGACUGAGACACGGCCCAGACUCCUACGGGAGGCAGCAGUAGGGAAUCUUCGGCAAUGGGGGCAACCCUGACCGAGCAACGCCGCGUGAGUGAAG
This 392-nucleotide ribosomal RNA is filed under the name Streptococcus sp. oral taxon C65. RNAcentral describes it as "bacterial SSU rRNA". It matches the Rfam family "Bacterial small subunit ribosomal RNA", at positions 28 to 410 of the family's 1533-position model. Lineage: Bacteria; Bacillati; Bacillota; Bacilli; Lactobacillales; Streptococcaceae. The record is from RNAcentral.